RNAcentral lists this ribosomal RNA (253 nucleotides) under uncultured bacterium. RNAcentral's name for it is "partial 16S ribosomal RNA". It matches the Rfam family "Bacterial small subunit ribosomal RNA", at positions 524 to 776 of the family's 1533-position model. The record is from RNAcentral.
UACGUAGGGGGCAAGCGUUGUCCGGAAUCAUUGGGCGUAAAGAGCGUGUAGGCGGCCCGGUAGGUCCGCUGUGAAAGUCCAGGGCUCAACCCUGGGAUGCCGGUGGAUACUGUCGGGCUCGAGUCCGGAAGAGGAGUGUGGAAUUCCUGGUGUAGCGGUGAAAUGCGCAGAUAUCAGGAGGAACACCAAUGGCGAAGGCAGCACUCUGGGACGUGACUGACGCUGAGACGCGAAAGCGUGGGGAGCGAACAGG